Molecule: microRNA precursor, 173 nt
Filed under: Pelobates cultripes (western spadefoot toad)
Lineage: Eukaryota; Metazoa; Chordata; Amphibia; Anura; Pelobatidae
Source: RNAcentral
CAGCAGACACAUUCCAGCCAAUCAGCAGCAGACCCUCCCUCCCAGAUCCUCCCACCUCCUGUACAGCAUCCAUUUUACAUUCAUUGUGAAGCUGCAUUCUUAGUGAGCUGUCCAGGAGGUGGGAGAGUCUGGGAGGGAGGGUCUGCUGCUGAUUGGCUGGAAUGUGUCUGCUG